RNAcentral lists this ribosomal RNA (439 nucleotides) under uncultured bacterium. RNAcentral describes it as "partial 16S ribosomal RNA". It matches the Rfam family "Bacterial small subunit ribosomal RNA", at positions 338 to 795 of the family's 1533-position model. The record is from RNAcentral.
CCUACGGGUGGCAGCAGUGGGGAAUAUUGCACAAUGGGGGAAACCCUGAUGCAGCGCCGCCGCGUGAGUGAAGAAGUAAUUCGUUAUGUAAAGCUCUAUCAGCAGGGAAGAAAAUGACGGUACCUGAGUAAGAAGCCCCGGCUAACUACGUGCCAGCAGCCGUGGUAAUACGGAGGAUGCGAGCGUUAUCCGGAUUUAUGGGGUUAAAAGGGUGCGCAGGAGGAUUUUUAAGUCAGCGGUCAAAUCGUGGGGCUCAACCCCAUCGAGCCGUUGAAACUGGGGAUCUAGAGUGUGCGAGAGGUAUGCGGAAUGCGUGGUGUAGCGGUGAAAUGCAUAGAUAUCACGCAGAACCCCGAUUGCGAAGGCAGCAUACCGGUGCACAACUGACGCUCAGGCACGAAAGCGUGGGUAUCGAACAGGAUUAGAUACCCUUGUAGUC